CCUACGGGUGGCUGCAGUGAGGAAUAUUGGUCAAUGGGCGUAAGCCUGAACCAGCCAUCCCGCGUGAAGGAAGAAGGCGCUAUGCGUCGUAAACUUCUUUUCCAGAGGAAUAAAAUUUCGUACGUGUACGGAACUGUAGGUACUUUGGGAAUAAGCAUCGGCUAACUCCGUGCCAGCAGCCGCGGUAAUACGGAGGAUGCGAGCGUUAGCCGGUUUUAUUGGGUUGAAGGGGGAGUAAGGAGGCAUAAUAGAAAACCUUCAGCUUAACUGGAGAACUGCCAUUGAUACUGUUAGUCUUGAGUACGGUCAAGGUAGGCGGAAUGUGUAAUGUAGCGGUGAAAUGCUUAGAUAUUACACAGAACACCGAUUGCUAAGGCAGCUUACUGGGCCAUUACUGACGCUGAUGCACGAAAGCGUGGGGAGCGAACAGGAUUAGAUACCCUGGUAGUC
This 450-nucleotide ribosomal RNA is filed under the name uncultured bacterium. RNAcentral's name for it is "partial 16S ribosomal RNA". It matches the Rfam family "Bacterial small subunit ribosomal RNA", at positions 338 to 795 of the family's 1533-position model. The record is from RNAcentral.